AUUGAACGCUGGCGGCAGGCCUAACACAUGCAAGUCGAGCGGAUGAAGGGAGCUUGCUCCUGGAUUCAGCGGCGGACGGGUGAGUAAUGCCUAGGAAUCUGCCUGGUAGUGGGGGAUAACGUCCGGAAACGGGCGCUAAUACCGCAUACGUCCUGAGGGAGAAAGUGGGGGAUCUUCGGACCUCACGCUAUCAGAUGAGCCUAGGUCGGAUUAGCUAGUUGGUGGGGUAAAGGCCUACCAAGGCGACGAUCCGUAACUGGUCUGAGAGGAUGAUCAGUCACACUGGAACUGAGACACGGUCCAGACUCCUACGGGAGGCAGCAGUGGGGAAUAUUGGACAAUGGGCGAAAGCCUGAUCCAACCAUGCCGCGUGUGUGAAGAAGGUCUUCGGAUUGUAAAGCGCUUUAAGUUGGGAGGAAGGGCAGUAAGUUAAUACCUUGCUGUUUUGACGUUACCAACAGAAUAAGCACCGGCUAACUUCGU
This 483-nucleotide ribosomal RNA is filed under the name uncultured bacterium. Its description in RNAcentral is "partial 16S ribosomal RNA". It matches the Rfam family "Bacterial small subunit ribosomal RNA", at positions 30 to 506 of the family's 1533-position model. The record is from RNAcentral.